Molecule: long non-coding RNA, 679 nt
Filed under: Rattus norvegicus (Norway rat)
Lineage: Eukaryota; Metazoa; Chordata; Mammalia; Rodentia; Muridae
Description: long non-coding RNA NONRATT025358
Source: RNAcentral
UUUCCUUCAGUUCUGCAAAUCAGAAGUCUGAUAUAGGACUGAAAUCUAAAUGUGGUCAGGGCCCACUGUUUCUCGAAGCCCCAGGGAGAGUCAUUUCCUGGUCUUUCCCAGUCUUGAGAGGUCGCCCACUUUUGUUUUUGGUCUGAGGUCCUUCUGCCUUCAGAGCCAGGGACAGGCUACAUAUGUCCCUCGUGCCACCAGUCUCCACUGGUUCGGAUCCCACUGUGACUGCAGUGAAUCUGCCUGGAGAUUCAGCAGCAGCCUCGAUUUGGGCCGUUAACUCCUGUCACCCAGUAGUCAUUGGCCAUAGGGACCAGAGUAUCCCGAGGGGUCUAUCCUGGAAAACAGGAACACGGUUUGCCAGCAAGGCACCUGCUACACCACAGACCCUGCUCCCGUCCAGCCAUGAAAGCCCUGCUCAGCCCUGACCCAGGCUUGCUUCCUCAUGGUUCGAGGCUGGGAUCUGAAGUCUCUCCUCUGUCCCCUUUCCCAGGUACUUGCUUUACCGAGCUGGCCAGGGCAAGCAAUGCACACAGCCUUUGUAUGCUUGUAGAUGUUAACUUGUCGAUGACAUUAAUAUUGUGAAUUAUUUUUAUAGUGUUGAUUUUGUAUGCAUGUACUCAGGACAGAAUCCAGAUAUAUAUAUAUAUAGCUUGAUAUAAAACAUUUCAUAAGUGGC